ACGAUCUGCACCCUGUCAAAGGGUCGAUCCACAACUGUGCACCCUCUGCCGUGUUUGGCGGCAGGACGGUUCGAAGUUCCCCUGGGGUCGCAAGAUUCCCUGAGACUUGCACCGUCCGCGUCGGAGGUCGCGAGUCCUCGUUCCCCCGGCGUUUGCCGCCAGUGAAACAAACAUCUUGCACUUUGGACUGAUCAUUACGUCACGCAAGUGAUAAAAUCCGAAA
Molecule: unclassified non-coding RNA, 223 nt
Filed under: soil metagenome
Description: partial internal transcribed spacer 1
Source: RNAcentral